Molecule: ribosomal RNA, 2052 nt
Filed under: Triticum aestivum (bread wheat)
Lineage: Eukaryota; Viridiplantae; Streptophyta; Magnoliopsida; Poales; Poaceae
Description: partial small subunit ribosomal RNA
Source: RNAcentral
AUGGACAGCAACCAGCCCGCACGACCACGUUCGCGCGUGCAAAGGCACGGCCCGCACGUCCGGUGUGUGGCAACCCAGCCCGGACGUGCGGGCCACAGGACCCAACAGCCCGCACGAUCCAGCCGUCCCGGCCUCUUCUCCCACCUGCCGAAUCCCGGCUGCCGCCAUCCUCUCCCACCUCCCGAACCCCUACCUCCAUCGCCGGCCUUCUCUGGUUGCCAUGGCAACCAGAGCAGAUCCGUAGGGCAAUCCCACCGCAAACCACACCCCCACCCUCCCCACCCACCCCCACCCCCCACCCCCAAUCCAACAACGCCCUCCAAAGAAGACCAGCUACAAGCAGUUGCCAAGCAGAGUACACUAGAUCUGCCAUGUACUACGUUUGAGAUAACCGCCAGAAACGCCCCCUUGGGAUGCAUCAGAAUACAGCUCAUUUCUACAGGGCCGUUGCUGCCACUACUAGAACAGUACGCAGUCAUUGGUUCUUAUAACCAAAACACACUGAGGGGGGCACCAUGGCAAGUUCAGCCACAUGACGCUAACACUGACAAAUGGCAUCUACUGACUACAACUACAGUGCACAGCGGGGUAGGGGCAUCUACUGCGGGAAGCUCUGAGCGCACGGAAGACGCGGUCCUCCAGCCAGCCACUAGUCAUGCCGCAAACAAUACCGAGUCAGAGUCAGAAAUGGCAAUCAUUCCUGCAAUGCCGACAAGCACCCCUUUGAACACAAGCACUGGGAACACUCAAGUAGAUCAAACUGCCACCGAUACUGAAGUGAAUCAUGAAACUGAUGACGAAGCACAAUGGGAUGAAGAUGGUGGGCAAUCAGAGAUCAUGGUACCUCAGCCACUGUACGUUGGGCAGAGAUUUGAAUUGUUCGCAGAAGCAAAGGAAUUCUACCAGACAUAUGCAAAGUUCCAUGGGUUUGCGGUCAACAUCGAAUACCAUAGGAAGAUUAAGAAAACAAACGAGUACAACAGAGGUGAGAUGAGGUGCCACAAGGCACGAAGGAACAAGAAGGGGAAAGGUGUUUCGCCUGUCGUUCCGGAACGAAAGAGAGGAAUCAUUCUCAAGACGGAAUGCUCUGUAUGGUGUAAGCUAAACGUAGAUGGAGCACAGUGGGUGGUGACUGAAUAUUUUGACGAGCACAACCACCAACUCAUAGAGAAGUUCGACCUGGUGAAGUUUCUGACCGCCCACAGAGGAUUCACCCCACUCGAGAAGAAAUUCAUAAAGUUGCUACAUGAUUGUAAUGUCGGUCCAUCAAGAAUGCAAGAAGCAAACACCGCACUGAAGCAGCCAAAAUUGCUAACGUAUUUACCGAUGGAGAGGCAAAUGAGCAAGAUAUACACCAACAAGAUCUUUAACAAAUUCCAGGAAGAAAUAAAGCGCGCCAGCAUGUUCACGGCUUUCCAGGUGGACGAACAUACGUUCAAAGUGUGUUCUAUUUUGGGCAUGUCAGAUUCAAAACCUGAUGACCCAAACAAGGGAAGGAACUACUUCAUGAAAGCCUCGAUCGGCCAAGGCGAAUACUACUGCCAAUGCUGCAAGUUUGAACGGGAUGGCAUUGUGUGUCGUCACAUACUAGAAGUAAUGGACAUGAAUGCGGUGACACGGAUGCCCCGCCAUUUCAUAAGACGGCGAUGGACUUGGGACGCUGACGACGCAUUGGCGCCGCAAACAACAAACGCAAUUCUGGCUGUGCAUGACGAGAGACCAGAGUCAACCAUGGAAGCUGUGAGGCACGUUGUGCUGACAAAGAAUUAUGCUGAGCUAAUUGAUGAAGCAUGCAAGAGUGAUGAGACAGCGAGAGUCACAGAAAAAGACAGGAAGGCCCUAAAAAGAGAGCUUGAUAAGAUCAAGAAGAGGAAAGCUGAGGAAGCCUUACACCGGUUCCCCCGCACGUCAAGUGUGCCUUCGUCCACGAGGCCAUCAUCAGAAAACUCAGAAAUAGGAUCUGGAACAGCAAGCACACAAACCCAGGCCAGGAACCCGCCCCGAUCCAUCACAAAGAGGCGUCCAAAAGAGAAAGAUACAAAUCGGGAUUAG